RNAcentral lists this ribosomal RNA (452 nucleotides) under Ucides cordatus. RNAcentral describes it as "partial 16S ribosomal RNA". It matches the Rfam family "Bacterial large subunit ribosomal RNA", at positions 1859 to 2548 of the family's 2925-position model. Lineage: Eukaryota; Metazoa; Arthropoda; Malacostraca; Decapoda; Ocypodidae. The record is from RNAcentral.
CUGCCCACUGAUAAUAGUGUUUUAAAGGGCCGCGGUAAUUUGACCGUGCAAAGGUAGCAUAAUCGUUAGUUUUUUAAUUGGAAUCUUGUAUGAAUGGUUUGACAAAAGAAAAUCUGUCUCUAUCUUUUUCUUUGAAUUUAACUUUUAAGUGAAAAGGCUUAAAUAGUUUAAAAAGACGAUAAGACCCUAUAAAGCUUUAUAAAUUGUUCGUUAUUAAGCUGAAUUGGUAAAUAAUAGUUUAGUAAGGGAAGUUUAUUUUAUUGGGGCGAUAGUGGUAAAAUGUUUAUUAACUGUUAAAAUUUUAAGACAAAUAUAGUUGAGUAAAGUUGUAUAAAUUGAUCCUGAAAUACAGAUUAAAAGUUUAAGUUACUUUAGGGAUAACAGCGUUAUUUUUUUUGAGAGUUCAUAUCGAAAAAAAAGUUUGCGACCUCGAUGUUGAAUUAAAAUGUCUG